This 898-nucleotide small RNA is filed under the name Arabidopsis thaliana (thale cress). Its description in RNAcentral is "ATSL117610". The stretch from base 670 to 791 matches the Rfam family "MIR405 microRNA precursor family". Lineage: Eukaryota; Viridiplantae; Streptophyta; Magnoliopsida; Brassicales; Brassicaceae. The record is from RNAcentral.
AACAAAAUCGAAAUUCAUGGUCUUAUAUAGAAUUUUAAAAUAUUUUAUAAUAAAUCACAUCAAUUUUCCUAAAAUCAUCAAACUCAUAUAAAAACUAGCUAAAACUCAAAUUGUAAGGUCCAAAUUAAUGAGUCAACUCAACUCAACUCAACUCAAUCCAUGAACCCUAAUGAGUUGAAAAUUUUGACUCAAAUGAGUUGAUGAGUCAAAUGAGUUGAUGAGUCAAUUGGUUUGAUGAGUAAAAUGAGUUGGGUUGUAAUGGUUAAUGGUUUCAAUGGUUUAUCCAAUUAACCCAUCAAAUUUUGUAAAAUUGAAUUAAACCAACUAAAAUCUCUAAACCAAUGCCAAUUUAAGUCUAACCAACACAUCUAAACCAAUUUAAUAAAAUUAAUAUUUUUCCAAAUUUCUUAAAUAUACAAGCGAUGAAAUUGAGAAAAAGUAAACCCGUAAUUUUUCCGCCAAAAACGUAAAUCCGUGAUUUUCCCGCCAAAAACGUAAAUCCAUGAUUUUCCCGCCAAAAACGUAAACCCGAGAUUUUCCCGCCAAAAACGUAAACCCGUAAAAAGUGGAAUCCGUAAAUAUAUUAAGUUUUGAUGAUAAUGAAUUAAUAAUGAUAAUUAUUUAUUAUUAUUUUAUAAUAAUAAUUAAUUAAAUUAUUACUUAAAUGGGUUAACCCAUUUAACAACUCAACCCAUUAAAUUAAAUGAGUUAUGGGUUGACUUAACCCAUUUAACAAAAUGAGUUGGAUCAACCCAUAACUCAUUUAACCCUAAACUCAUUUGAUUAUGAGUUGAGUUGAGUUGUGUUACCCAUUUUGACACACUUAGAUCUAAUACACCUCUUUAUUAAUUUUAAAGGAUUUGAGAAAAUUUAAAAAGAUUUAUUUAGUUACAUAUAU